CGCGGGGUGGAGCAAUCGGUAGCUUGCUGGGCUCAUAACCCAGAGGUUGGAGGUUCGAGUCCUCUCCCCGCAACCA
Molecule: transfer RNA, 76 nt
Filed under: Bacillota bacterium
Lineage: Bacteria; Bacillati; Bacillota
Description: Firmicutes bacterium (gut metagenome) tRNA-Met
Rfam family: tRNA
About the family: Transfer RNA (tRNA) molecules are approximately 80 nucleotides in length.
Source: RNAcentral